RNAcentral lists this long non-coding RNA (234 nucleotides) under Elaeis guineensis (African oil palm). RNAcentral describes it as "long non-coding RNA (EGUI_LNC015373)". Lineage: Eukaryota; Viridiplantae; Streptophyta; Magnoliopsida; Arecales; Arecaceae. The record is from RNAcentral.
UGUACCAUUUGCCGGCCAGUACGAUAUAGCAGCAAAUACAUCCACAAACAACAUUGUUUUAAAACAGAACAUAUUAGGAAGAACCAAGGUUUGCAAUACCAGUAUUGCACCCCGUACCACUUGCCGGCCAGUACGGUACCGUACCGUACCGGCCUACACCGACAAUAAAAAAAAUCCACCCAACGGCCAAAAAGAAAAAAAAAAAAAGAAAACCAACCCGUACUGAUCCGUACC